GCCGCGUCGACCGCCUGGGGAGUACGGCCGCAAGGCUAAAACUCAAAGGAAUUGACGGGGGCCCGCACAAGCGGCGGAGCAUGCGGAUUAAUUCGAUGCAACGCGAAGAACCUUACCAAGGCUUGACAUAUACCGGAAACAUGCAGAGAUGUGUGCCCCGCAAGGUCGGUAUACAGGUGGUGCAUGGUUGUCGUCAGCUCGUGUCGUGAGAUGUUGGGUUAAGUCCCGCAACGAGCGCAACCCUCGUUCUAUGUUGCCAGCACGUAAUGGUGGGAACUCAUAGGAGACUGCCGGGGUCAACUCGGAGGAAGGUGGGGAUGACGUCAAAUCAUCAUGCCCCUUAUGUCUUGGGCUUCACGCAUGCUACAAUGGCCGGUACAAAGGGCUGCGAUACCGUAAGGUGGAGCGAAUCCCAAAAAGCCGGUCUCAGUUCGGAUUGAGGGUACCUUUAGAAGCCUCCGUUACGCUUUUGGAGGCGACCACCCCAGUCAAACUACCCACCAAGCAAUGUCCUUCUACCUGAAGUUAGAACUCAAACAAACGAAGGGUUACCG
RNAcentral lists this ribosomal RNA (554 nucleotides) under uncultured Clavibacter sp. RNAcentral's name for it is "bacterial SSU rRNA". It matches the Rfam family "Bacterial small subunit ribosomal RNA", at positions 859 to 1376 of the family's 1533-position model. The record is from RNAcentral. Lineage: Bacteria; Bacillati; Actinomycetota; Actinomycetes; Micrococcales; Microbacteriaceae.